This 787-nucleotide ribosomal RNA is filed under the name uncultured Bacteroidota bacterium. Its description in RNAcentral is "bacterial SSU rRNA". It matches the Rfam family "Bacterial small subunit ribosomal RNA", at positions 553 to 1344 of the family's 1533-position model. Lineage: Bacteria; Pseudomonadati; Bacteroidota. The record is from RNAcentral.
AUUGGGUUUAAAGGGUGCGCAGGCGGAUUAGUAAGUCAGUGGUGAAAGCUCCCGGCUCAACCGGGAAAAUGCCAUUGAUACUGUUAAUCUUGAGUACAGUUGAGGUAGGCGGAAUGUAUCAUGUAGCGGUGAAAUGCAUAGAUAUGAUACAGAACACCGAUAGCGAAGGCAGCUUACCAAACUGUAACUGACGCUCAUGCACGAAAGCGUGGGGAGCAAACAGGAUUAGAUACCCUGGUAGUCCACGCUGUAAACUAUGAUCACUCGCUGUUGGCGAUACACUGUCAGCGGCUUAACGAAAGUGUUAAGUGAUCCACCUGGGGAGUACGAUCGCAAGGUUGAAACUCAAAGGAAUUGACGGGGGCCCGCACAAGCGGAGGAGCAUGUGGUUUAAUUCGAUGAUACGCGAGGAACCUUACCUGGGCUUAAAUGCAGAACGACCUCCCGAGAAAUCGGGACUUCCUUCGGGACGGACUGCAAGGUGCUGCAUGGUUGUCGUCAGCUCGUGCCGUGAGGUGUCGGGUUAAGUCCCAUAACGAGCGCAACCCUUAUCCUUAGUUGCCAACAGGUAAUGCUGGGAACUCUAAGGAAACUGCCUACGCAAGUAGUGAGGAAGGUGGGGAUGACGUCAAAUCAGCACGGCCCUUAUGUCCAGGGCUACACACGUGCUACAAUGGUCGGUACAGAGGGCAGCUACCUGGCAACAGGAUGCUAAUCUCGAAAGCCGGUCUCAGUUCGGAUUGGAGUCUGCAACUCGACUCCAUGAAGUUGGAUUCGCUAGUAAUCG